AAAAAAGAUCUUAUCUGCUGUGUGGAGAAUGGAUUGGAAAAGGAAGGAGACACUAUACAUCAGUAAACAGUUGAGAAACCCAGAGGGCUUUCACAUCAGCCCCUGGGACCAAUCAAGCACUGAUCAACUCAGAUAUCUGGAUAGAUACCUAGCUGGGUAAAAGAAGACGCUCCUAGAAGGAGCUGACACUGGAUAACAACAUGGAAAGGAAUCCCCAGGAGAGCAGGAAAGGUCUCUCCCACAAAGCAGUCCCCCGGGUUGCUGGCCUGCUGCUUGCCGUGGCCCUCAUGAAUGUUCUUCUUUACCUCUGCCUCAACCAAUUUUUCAUUUUCCCUCAACGAUCUACUGAGGAUCCCAGGUCCUGUCCUUAUGGUUACUUCAGAAUGGGACAGAUGAAAGACUGCUCACCUUGGCUAUCCUGUGAGGAGCUGAGGACAGAAGUAAGGCAGUUAAAGUGCAUUGGGGAAGGAGCUGUGAAGAGAGUCUUUCUGUCUGAGUGGAAGGAACGCAAAGUUGCUCUUUCACGGCUGAAGAGUUUGGAAAUGAAAGAUGAUUUUCUCCAUGGACUUCAAAUGCUGAAAUCUCUACAAAGUAAACACAUUGUCACACUGGUUGGCUAUUGUGAGGAUGACAACAGUAUCCUUACUGAAUAUCACCCCUUGGGUUCUUUGAGAAACCUAGAGGAAACACUAACCCUCUCAAAGUACCAAAAUGUGAACACAUGGCAGCACAGGCUGCAGUUGGCUAUAGGGUAUGUCAGUAUCAUUAACUACCUACACCACAGCCCUCUGGGCACACUGGUUAUGUGUGAUUCUAAUGACUUGCCCAAGACAUUGUCCCAGUAUCUGCUUACAAGUAACUUGAGCAUCGUGGCAAAUGACUUGGAUGCCUUGCCUCUGGUGAACCACAGCUCUAAGAUGUUUGUGAAGUGUGGCCACAGGGAGCUUCAUGGGGAUUUUGUGGCUCCAGAGCAGCUGUGGCCCUAUGGAAAGGACACACCUUUUCAUGAUGAGCUUAUGCCUUCCUAUGAUGAGAAGGUUGACAUCUGGAAGAUUCCAGAUGUCUCCAGUUUCCUUUUGGGUCAUGUUGAAGGCAGUGAUAUGGUUCGAUUCCAUUUGUUUGAUAUUCACAAGGCUUGUAAGAGCCAGACUCCUGCAGAAAGACCCACUGCUCAGGAUAUUCUGGAUACUUAUCAGAAGGUUUUUAACUUGCUCAGAGAUACUGGAAGGUCUCAGACAAGGGAAAUGUUAUAAAACCCAGACUAGUUGUUGAAGGGUAGGAUUUAAAGACUGAAUCAAAAUUACAACAGUUCUAUGCUGAUGAUGGAGGUUGUUGCUUAUGCUUGGGGUUUUCAUUAUGUUUUGCUGUUUGGCCAUAUGAUUCUUUUUCUACAUCUGUUUCUACAUCUGACUGCCCAAGUGGGAGCAAGAGCAAAGCAGAUUUGAUUUAAACCUGGCUUCACAUUUCUGAGGAUGUUUGCUUUUGGUGAAGAUGUAGGAAGCAAUGAAAUUACCCAGUAUCUAAAUUAACUAAUACAAAUAUAGUCAUAAAGAAGCCUUGCAUACCCUAAUAAAGUUUGUAAGCUCUUAAGAAAAGUAUUAAUAGAGAUUUUUAAAUGGUGCAACAUGAAAUAAGUGUAGUCCUUUAUCAAAGAACAUUUUUGCUUCCCAAUUUAAAAAACGUUGAGGUACAGAACUCUAGGCAUUCACACACAGACCAAAGGAGGAUACUCUUAGGGGUGAACACAAAGGUGCCAUGCCUCUGUGCCUCUGAUCAUAUAAAAUAAUAUCAAAUUAACCCAGGAAAUGGAAACAAGAGUUUUUUUUCUUAUUUUUCCUUUUAUAUUGUUUAUUCUUCUAUCUGCCUUUGGGGUGGGGAAAGACACAGAAAUGGCAGGACAAAGGGUGAACAAAAGCAGCAGGGGUACUCAGUAUGUUUAAUAUAAACUGUACAACCUGUGGGUGGGGAUGGGAGGGAAGAACGGGGA
RNA transcript from Dipodomys spectabilis (banner-tailed kangaroo rat), 1987 nucleotides. It is a transcript of the gene named protein O-mannose kinase, with no coding region annotated. The transcript has 5 exons. The record is from RefSeq and is a predicted model, not a curated record. Lineage: Eukaryota; Metazoa; Chordata; Mammalia; Rodentia; Heteromyidae.